Molecule: ribosomal RNA, 1440 nt
Filed under: Uroglena sp. WA34KE
Lineage: Eukaryota; Chrysophyceae; Chromulinales; Chromulinaceae
Description: bacterial LSU rRNA
Rfam family: Bacterial large subunit ribosomal RNA
Source: RNAcentral
CACCCCUGUUAGGGGAGUGAAAAGUACCUGAAACCUGUUGCUUACAAGCGGUCGGAGCCCCCUCGUGGGGUGACGGCGUACCUUUUGCAUAAUGGGUCUGGGAGUUAACGUAAGGAGCCAGCCUAAGGUCCCUCAGGACCGGAGGCGCAGCGAAAGCGAGUCUGAAUAGGGCGAUCGUCAGUGUUUAUAGACCCGAACCCGGGUGAUCUAACCAUGGCCAGGAUGAAGCUUGGGUGAUACCAAGUGGAGGUCCGAACCGACUGAUGUUGAAAAAUCAGCGGAUGAGCUGUGGUUAGGGGUGAAAUGCCAAUCGAACCCGGAGCUAGCUGGUUCUCCCCGAAAUACGUUGAGGCGUAGCGUCUAGUGCUCCAGCAGGGGGGUAAAGCCACCGUUUCGGUACGGGCUGCGAGAGCGGUACCAAAUCGAGACGAACUCUGAAUACCCUGUGUGUAACUAGGCAGUCAGACUGUGGGGGAUAAGCUCCAUGGUCGAAAGGGAAACAGCCCAGACCGCCAGCUAAGGUCCCCAAAUCAAUGCUGAGUGAUAAAGGAGGUGGGAUUGCCCAGACAACCAGGAGGUUUGCCUAGAAGCAGCCAUCCUCAAAGGAGUGCGUAAUAGCUCACUGGUCGAGCGAUCCUGCGCCGAAAAUGAACGGGGCUAAGCAUUGUACCGAAGCUGCGGAUUUAACUUGUUAAAUGGUAGGGGAGCGUUCCAUGUGGGGUGAAGCGUUAGCGUAAGCGGGCGUGGACUGCAUGGAAGUGAGAAUGUCGGCUUGAGUAGCGAAAACAUGGGUGAGAAUCCCAUGCCCCGAAACCCUAAGGGUUCCUCCGGCAGGCUCGUCCGCGGAGGGUUAGUCAGGACCUAAGGCGAGGCCGAAAGGCGUAGUCGAUGGACAACAGGUCAACAUUCCUGUACCUGUGAUGUUUUGGGAAGGGGGACGGAGAAGGCUAGCCAAGCCAGAUGUUGGUUACUGGUCCAAGCGUUCGAGGCGUUGAGAACCGGCGAAAACGGUUUGAGCUGAGGCGUGAGUGCGAGCUGCUACGGCAGCGAAGUUGGUGACGUCAAGCUUCCAAGAAAAGCCCUAUACCCGUUAAGGCAUCAUGGCCUGUACCCGAAACCGACACAGGUGGGGUGGUAGAGAAUACCGAGGGGCGCGAGGUAACUCUCUCUAAGGAACUCGGCAAAAUGGCCCCGUAACUUCGGGAGAAGGGGUGCCACCGCAAGGUGGUCGCAGUGAAGAGGCCCAGGCGACUGUUUACCAAAAACACAGGUCUCCGCUAAGUCGCAAGACGAUGUAUGGGGGCUGACGCCUGCCCAGUGCCGGAAGGUUAAGGAAGCUGGUCAGCGCAAGCGAAGCUGGCGACUGAAGCCCCGGUGAACGGCGGCCGUAACUAUAACGGUCCUAAGGUAGCGAAAUUCCUUGUCGGGUAAGUUCCGACC